Molecule: non-coding RNA, 664 nt
Organism: Pelobates cultripes (western spadefoot toad)
Lineage: Eukaryota; Metazoa; Chordata; Amphibia; Anura; Pelobatidae
Source: the annotation of a GenBank genome assembly
GUAUAGUCUGUGUGAGAUCAAGGCUGGGGAUGCCUAUUGGCCCAUUAUGGAAAGGAGUUUUAAUGACGCUCUCCUCACUACCGAUAUGGAUUUCCAGUCGGGUAUUACAUUCUGUGAACAGCUUCGGGCAUGGGCCCAGGAUAAACUAGCUGACCAAGCCACUUGUAUAAAUGACAUUAUACAAGACAAACUCGAAUCUGUGGAAAAAUACCAUUCAUGGUUGACUCAAACUUUCUCCGAUCUUGGAUUCAGUGUAUACAACAAAGCACAUACCCAGAUGUUAUCCGCUGCCUUUGUUGCUGGCCUUAAGGAAGCCAUCAGGAAAGGCUUAGUGCUCUCUCGCCCCGAAUACAGAAUUAUUCCUUUGGACACUAUCUUACUAGUUGCCAAGGGCCUAGAAUCUGCUCUACAGCCACCCCAAAGGAAAAGUAAUCCUCUUAUGUUUUCCGUUUAUAGCCCUGCCACCAGACCCGCCCCAGUCCCCCCAGGAUAUCCCGUGCUAUCUACCUUGUCAGCUGCACAGGGGCAGCACAUGACACCCGCCCCUAGGCCUCAGACCAGGGCAUGCUUUAAUUGUCAGCAACCGGCCCUUUUCUGGAUGGAGAUUGCCCACACCCCAAGGUGCCUAGACAGCCGAAACUAGACCACCUAAUCCUGUGUUCAG